Molecule: transfer RNA, 74 nt
Filed under: candidate division NC10 bacterium CSP1-5
Lineage: Bacteria; Methylomirabilota (SeqCode)
Description: tRNA-Pro
Rfam family: tRNA
About the family: Transfer RNA (tRNA) molecules are approximately 80 nucleotides in length. Their secondary structure includes four short double-helical elements and three loops (D, anti-codon, and T loops).
Source: RNAcentral
CGGGGCGUAGCGCAGCCUGGUAGCGCACUGGCAUGGGGGGCCAGUGGUCCGGGGUUCAAAUCCCCGCGCCCCGA